AUGCACGCUGGCGGCGUGCCUAAUCCAUGCCAGUCGAGCGAACAGACGAGGAGCUUGCUCCUCUGACGUUAGCGGCGGACGGGUGAGUAACACGUGGAUAACCUACCUAUAAGACUGGGAUAACUUCGGGAAACCGGAGCUAAUGCCGGAUAAUAUAUUGAACCGCAUGGUUCAAUAGUGAAAGACGGUUUUGCUGUCACUUAUAGAUGGAUCCGCGCCGCAUUAGCUAGUUGGUAAGGUAACGGCUUACCAAGGCGACGAUGCGUAGCCGACCUGAGAGGGUGAUCGGCCACACUGGAACUGAGACACGGUCCAGACUCCUACGGGAGGCAGCAGUAGGGAAUCUUCCGCAAUGGGCGAAAGCCUGACGGAGCAACGCCGCGUGAGUGAUGAAGGUCUUCGGAUCGUAAAACUCUGUUAUUAGGGAAGAACAAAUGUGUAAGUAACUAUGCACGUCUUGACGGUACCUAAUCAGAAAGCCACGGCUAACUACGU
Molecule: ribosomal RNA, 495 nt
Filed under: uncultured bacterium
Lineage: Bacteria
Description: partial 16S ribosomal RNA
Rfam family: Bacterial small subunit ribosomal RNA
Source: RNAcentral